Molecule: ribosomal RNA, 447 nt
Filed under: uncultured bacterium
Lineage: Bacteria
Description: bacterial SSU rRNA
Rfam family: Bacterial small subunit ribosomal RNA
Source: RNAcentral
AUGCCAGACUCCUACGGGAGGCAGCAGUGGGGAAUAUUGCACAAUGGGGGAAACCCUGAUGCAGCGACGCCGCGUGAGCGAUGAAGUAUUUCGGUCUGUAAAUCUCUAUCAGCAGGGAAGAAAAUGACGGUACCUGAGUAAGAAGCCCCGGCUAACUACGUGCCAGCAGCCGCGGUAAUACGUAGGGGGCAAGCGUUAUCCGGAAUUACUGGGUGUAAAGGGAGCGUAGACGGUGAUGUAAGUCUGGAGUGAAAGGCGGGGGCCCAACCCCCGGACUGCUCUGGAAACUAUGUGACUGGAGUGCAGGAGAGGUGAGCGGAAUUCCUAGUGUAGCGGUGAAAUGCGUAGAUAUUAGGAGGAACACCAGUGGCGAAGGCGGCCUGCUGGACUGCAACUGACGUUGAGGCUCGAAGGCGUGGGGAGCAAACAGGAUUAGAUACCCGAGUA